This is a long non-coding RNA of Peromyscus eremicus (cactus mouse), 631 nucleotides long. RefSeq lists it as uncharacterized. NCBI's taxonomy places the organism in Eukaryota, Metazoa, Chordata, Mammalia, Rodentia, Cricetidae. The record is from RefSeq and is a predicted model, not a curated record. The transcript is spliced from 2 exons.
ACUGUGCUCCAGCACUCACCACUGGCCUUCCUGGCGCAGAGCAGUGAGCAGUGUUGCUCUCCCACCACUGUGGUGCUCUUCUCUUGGGGAUCGACUGCGUCUACUCAAACUGUGAGCCACAAUAAACCCUUCCCUCCUGAAGUUAUUUUUGUCAGCAUUUUGUAACAACAGAAAAAAGUAACUAAAACACCACCUCUUUGACUAUCAAACCUGUCCUGGUCCACAAAGUAAUCAAUAACUUCUGUUAUUUACAACCUGCCAUUUCAAGUACCAAAUACUUCAAAUAACUGAGACAGUUGAAAUGCUAACUUUUCCCCCUUGGCUUUUUGGGCUGUUGAAUGCAGAAUCUACCAGAAGAUCAGAAGUUGUGCUUGAUGAAACUUUAACAAAGAUGUAAUUCUCAAUUGGAUCAGAUUGCUUUGGGAACUUACCAGUAUGCUUCCUUCGUGGUGGUGCCAUCGAUGCCUGAUGGAGAAUAAGUUCUUGGAAAAAUUUUCUUCGAUCUUCUUCAAUAGGCCUUUGAAUAUAUAAUACCUCUUCAUACUGUAUUCUAAAGAUACAUUUAACCUAUACAUACACACAUGCACAAAGAAAGAAAAUGCAAAAUUAAAAGCAUACAUAUUUAAUCAAA